This 694-nucleotide long non-coding RNA is filed under the name Olea europaea subsp. europaea. The record is from RNAcentral. Lineage: Eukaryota; Viridiplantae; Streptophyta; Magnoliopsida; Lamiales; Oleaceae.
CCAAAUCCCAAAAUCAAGAACAAACGGUUGGCAAGCUUCUUGGAAAAAGUUUCUGAUAGAUAUGAUGUACCUCAAAGGCUAUGUUAGCCUCUAUCCAAACUUUCCAAAUCAAGUUAAUCAACAAAGCAUUUUGACCAAUCAUAUGGAAACCUGGCUCAUAUCUGCGCAAAAGAAAACGCAGUGAAACACGACAACACAGAUUUCGAGGUGCCCUUGAUGAAACAAGUCUUCAAAACUGCAUUGCCUAAUAGAAAAUUGCCUCCAGCUUCAAAAUUGCCAUCGCUUAACCUCUUCGAUCAAGCGGUUUCUUUGAAAGGUUUGAGGGCUGCUGGUGCAAAGCUGAGGCAGGAUGUGCUUGAAUGCAAUCCAACACAAGUAGUGGCAGCCAAUCAUGAAACAGGUCUACCUUCACAUUGUGCAAAUUUCUGAUUGAACUUGCUACAAUUCUUUUAUUUCAAAUUACAGAUAUUUUUUUUCUUCUUCUUUUUCAUUUGACCAUUAUAGUUUGUACAUAAUCUUGAUGGGGAUGGUCCCAAAUCGCAAUUGUAACAAACAAACGAAAUCGGGGGUUCAAAUUGUAACAGAAUUAAUCUGAUUUUUGGUUCCCUGUGAAAUGAAGGGGAAUUAUGAUAUCUAGUGAAAAAGACUAUAAAUUCAGCUUGUAAUAUGUAGAGGUGUUGACUAGCGCAUUUAC